AAGUUUAGGGUGUGAUAUUAGGGAAGCAAGACAAAGAUUUUUAUUGGCUCCCAUUUACCCCCUGUGACCUUCACUACGUUCCUCACUCAUGUGCGCGCACUCUUUAACAAGGGCAUUAUUCUCGUUAUCUAUAUAUGGUGACUUUAUCAAUUUUGAUCCACAAGGCUGGCUGCAGAGCUCCAAACAGGUGAUUAUUCUUCUUUCAUCUCAUACUAAGACCGACUAGGAUGUAUGUAAAAACACAAAUGCAUUUUUAACAACCUAGUCUAUUAGAAAACAAAUGAUUCAAUAACUAGGAACUGCUGUUUGAGAAGGAACUAAUUAACGGCAGGUGAGCACAUUCGAAUAAUUAAUCAGCUAGCUAGACCAUGACCAUGAAUGAAAACACUCGCUCUAACUCCAAAGUAUACUGCUACUACUCCUAUGGUAAAUGAGGAAGAGGGCUCAGAUAUAUAAUAUGGAGUGGAAUCCAUAUAUCUGAGACCGCGUGGCAGGGAGAGGACGAGCGGUCUGACCUGGCAAACGACCUUGUGCCAUUAGGCCAGCAAGAUUGGACAAAGUUCAAACCAACCAUAUGGUAGAAUCAGCUUUUCUUCUUUUCUGUCACCGUUUCAGACUAACUGUACAAUACAGAUGAUUUCCCUGUCACACAGGCACUGAGAAACUGAAAUCUAAAUGGAAGAAUGAACACGCAAACCAAGCAAGAGGAAACCAGGGAGCAAAUCUCACAGGGUUUUCAGGUAAAAACAGGACACAGGCGACUCUAGCACAAUUUCAUGUCAUUUUUCUUCUAUAAAUUAUUUUUUUGCCAAGACUCAUCAACCAUCUCCUCCACCAGACAGCCGUCCAGACCAGAC
RNAcentral lists this long non-coding RNA (857 nucleotides) under Zea mays. RNAcentral's name for it is "long non-coding RNA (ZMAY_LNC003523)". The record is from RNAcentral. Lineage: Eukaryota; Viridiplantae; Streptophyta; Magnoliopsida; Poales; Poaceae.